CCUACGGGUGGCAGCAGUGGGGAAUAUUGCACAAUGGGGGAAACCCUGAUGCAGCAACGCCGCGUGAGCGAUGAAGGCCUUCGGAUCGUAAAGAUCUGUUCUAAGGGAAGAAUACUGACGGUACCUUAGGAGGAAGCCACGACUAACUACGGGCCAGCAGCCGCGGUAAUACGUAGGGGGCUAGCGUUAUCCGGAAUUACUCGGCGUAAAGGGUGCGUAGGCGGCACUUCUAGUCAGAGGUGAAAGGCUACGGCUCAACCGUAGUAAGCCUUUGAAACUGUAGGGCUUGAGUGCAGGAGAGGAGAGUGGAAUUCCCAGUGUAGCGGUGAAAUGCGUAGAUAUUGGGGGGAACACCAGUUGCGAAGGCGGCUCUCUGGACUGUAACUGCCGCUGAGGCAAGAAAGCGUGGGGAGCGAACAGGAUUAGAUACCCGAGUAGUC
This 440-nucleotide ribosomal RNA is filed under the name uncultured bacterium. Its description in RNAcentral is "bacterial SSU rRNA". It matches the Rfam family "Bacterial small subunit ribosomal RNA", at positions 338 to 795 of the family's 1533-position model. The record is from RNAcentral.